UACGAGGGGGGCAAAUGUUGUUCGGAUUUACUGGGCGUGAAGGGCGCGUAGGCGGCAUGACAAGUCACUUGUGAAAUCUCCGGGCUUAACUCGGAACGGUCAAGUGAUACUGUCGCGCUAGAGUGCGGAAGGGGCAAUCAGAAUUCUUGGUGUAGCGGUGAAAUGCGUAGAUAUCAAGAGGAAUACCUGAGGUGAAGACGGGUUGCUAGGCCGACACUGACGCUGAAGCGCGAAAGCCAGGGGAGCAAACGGG
This 253-nucleotide ribosomal RNA is filed under the name uncultured bacterium. RNAcentral's name for it is "partial 16S ribosomal RNA". It matches the Rfam family "Bacterial small subunit ribosomal RNA", at positions 524 to 776 of the family's 1533-position model. The record is from RNAcentral.